GAUGAACGCUAGCGGCAGGCCUAGCACAUGCAAGUCGAGGGAGAGGUUACCUUCGUGUAACCAAGACCGGCGCACGGGUGCGUAACGCGUAUACAAUCUGCCUUUCACAUAGGGAUAGCCCGAAGAAAUUUGGAUUAAUACCUAAUGGUAUAUAGGAGCGGCAUCGUUUUUAUAUUAAAGCUACGGUGGUGAAAGAUGAGUAUGCGUUCUAUUAGCUAGUUGGAGAGGUAACGGCUCCCCAAGGCGACGAUAGAUAGGGGUUCUGAGAGGGAUGUCCCCCACACUGGUACUGAGAUACGGACCAGACUCCUACGGGAGGCAGCAGUGAGGAAUAUUGGACAAUGGUCGGAAGACUGAUCCAGCCAUGCCGCGUGCAGGAUGAAGGUCCUAUGGAUUGUAAACUGCUUUUGUAAGGGAAGAAUAAGGAGUACGUGUACUUUGAUGACGGUACCUUACGAAUAAGCAUCGGCUAACUCCGUGCCAGCAGCCGCGGUAAUACGGAGGAUGCGAGCGUUAUCCGGAAUCAUUGGGUUUAAAGGGUCCGUAGGCGGGCUGAUAAGUCAGAGGUGAAAGCGCUUAGCUCAACUAAGCAACUGCCUUUGAAACUGUCAGUCUUGAAUGAUUGUGAAGUAGUUGGAAUGUGUAGUGUAGCGGUGAAAUGCUUAGAUAUUACACAGAACACCGAUAGCGAAGGCAUAUUACUAACAAUUUAUUGACGCUGAUGGACGAAAGCGUGGGGAGCGAACAGG
This 749-nucleotide ribosomal RNA is filed under the name uncultured Capnocytophaga sp. RNAcentral's name for it is "bacterial SSU rRNA". It matches the Rfam family "Bacterial small subunit ribosomal RNA", at positions 28 to 776 of the family's 1533-position model. The record is from RNAcentral. Lineage: Bacteria; Pseudomonadati; Bacteroidota; Flavobacteriia; Flavobacteriales; Flavobacteriaceae.